Molecule: long non-coding RNA, 1504 nt
Organism: Symphalangus syndactylus (siamang)
Lineage: Eukaryota; Metazoa; Chordata; Mammalia; Primates; Hylobatidae
Source: RefSeq, a predicted model, not a curated record
UCAUGCUUUGGGUCCACACUGCCUUUACGAGCUGUUAACACUCACCGCGAAGAUCUGCAGCUUCACUCCUGAAGCCAGCGAGACCACGAACCCACCGGGAGGAAUGAACAACUCCAGACGCGCCGCCUUAAGAGCUGUAACACCGCGAAGUUCCGCAGCUUCACUCCUGAGGCAGCCAGACCACGAACCCACCGGAGGAACGAACAACUCCAGACGCGCCGCCUUAAGAGCUGUAACACCGCGAAAGUCCGCAGCUUCACUCCUGAGGCAGCCAGACCACGAACCCACCGGAGGAACGAACAACUCCAGACGCGCCGCCUUAAGAGCUGUAACACCGCGAAAGUCCGCAGCUUCACUCCUGAGGCAGCCAGACCACGAACCCACCGGAGGAACGAACAACUCCAGACGCGCCGCCUUAAGAGCUGUAACACCGCAAAAGUCCGCAGCUUCACUCCUGAGGCAGCGAGACCACGAACCCACCGGGAGGAACGAACAACUCCAGACGCGCCGCCUUAAAAGCUGUAACACCGCGAAAGUCCGCAGCUUCACUCCUGAGGUAGCAAGACCACAACCGAGACCACGAACCCACCAAAAGGAAGAAACUCCGAACACAUCUGAACAUCAGAAGGAACAAACUCCGGACACGCCACCUUUAAGAACUGUAACACUCACCGCGAACGUCCACGGCUUCAUUCUUGAAGUCAGUGAGACCAAGAACCCGCCAAUUCCGGACACACAGCUACAGCCAAGCCUGUUUGCUUCUCUGGGCCAGCGUCCCUGGAGCUGAAUCGCGGCUGGCUGGAUUUGAGGAGCCUGCACGGGCUCACCCUCUCUCUGAAUCCCGGCCAGGGCUCACCUGGCUGUAAUUACUAAGACUCAGCUGCUGGGAAUUUCCACGCCUCCUACCUCUCUGCCGGGCAGCCCCUCCAUAUUAGGAAACCCACUGGCACGCUCCGCCAUUAUUUUUGCAAGACUUCCGUUGUUGCGUCAAGUUACAGAGUGCCUUUAACAGAGAAAAAAGUGAGAGAAAGAUGUCUCUGCUGGCAGCGUGAGGGGCAGACUGGCGUGGGGAUGCUGGAGGCUGGAGCUCGAAGGAGAGGAUGGUGUUAUCCAACACCCGGAGGCAUCAGGACCUGCAAAAGUGCUGUCAAAACAGGAAAAUGCUGUGAACUUUAACAAAAUUGUCAAGUUCACCAACUUUUUUGUUUUUUCUCUGUUAAAGAUCUUGCUUGCUUGACUGGUUUUUCCAAAUUCCCAGCGCUCCUCUGAAGUCAGUCAAUAUGGCAUUAUUGUCAUUUGGGGAACAGUAAACCUUUGAAAAAUGCCUUUUGCGUUCUGGAUUUAUGGAAACCGUUUGAACCGUGAGGAAACAGAAGAUCAGGAACAGAGGUGUUUUGCCUGGAGCCAGGAACAGAUGUGUUUUGCCUGGAGCCUGGAACAGAGUGUUUUGCAUGGAUCCUGGAAGAGUGCUUUGCAUGCAGUGGGUUCUUGGUGGAGCAGGAAU